RNAcentral lists this ribosomal RNA (330 nucleotides) under uncultured bacterium. RNAcentral's name for it is "bacterial SSU rRNA". It matches the Rfam family "Bacterial small subunit ribosomal RNA", at positions 29 to 385 of the family's 1533-position model. The record is from RNAcentral.
AGCGAACGCUGGCGGCAGGCUUAACACAUGCAAGUCGAGCGGGCGUAGCAAUACGUCAGCGGCAGACGGGUGAGUAACGCGUGGGAACAUACCUUUUGGUUCGGAACAACACAGGGAAACUUGUGCUAAUACCGGAUAAGCCCUUACGGGGAAAGAUUUAUCGCCGAAGAUUGGCCCGCGUCUGAUUAGCUUGUUGGUGAGGUAACGGCUCACCAAGGCGACGAUCAGUAGCNGGUCUGAGAGGAUGAUCAGCCACACUGGGACUGAGACACGGCCCAGACUCCUACGGGAGGCAGCAGUUGGGAAUCUUGGACAAUGGGGGAAACCCUG